CUUGAAUAAACUAAUUUUGACGAUUUCUUUUAUAAAUAUUUUCUUUGUAGUUUUUUCUGAAGUAUCAUUUUCGGAUUUUUAACUUUCACCAAAUUUAUUUUCUUCUAAUUUUGAACUUUCGAUAAGUUAUUUUGAUAGUGUCCCAAAUUUUAAUUAGUUGACGACCACACAUUAACUUGAUCGGUCACUUUUUUACCAAAACUUUUCAACUAUAUUUUCGGCCAAACUCAGCUAAGCUCCAACUUUUACUAUUACUUAGUACAAAUGUCUUUCGUGAGGCCUUCACAACAAUACGAAGAGAACUGCAGCAAAAACUAACGUACGUCCUACUAUCCAAUUUGAAAAAUGCAAACAAAACACAUAAACUAAGUACAGGCGUUUCCAUAACUUUUAAAAAAAUUGGAACCAAAACUUCUGUUAUUCGUCAAGAACUAAUAUUGGAACGAUGUUUUGAAAAAUACUUCCGGUUCAAAACUAGACUUUUCCUGCCUGCCAAAAAAACGAAUUUAAAAACAGCAACUGGUGUUGUAAUUUCGUAUCACCACAAAAUAUAUCUUAGGCCGAAUCAGGUUGCUAACCUCAAAUUUUGACAAAUGGGUUUAAUACCGCUAACCGACCUCAGGACAAUAUCAACAGAAAUGCGUUUUACAGUUUUAUUAUUAUUAUUAUUAAUAUCUUUCCCAACAGUAAAAAAACAAUGAACAGGGAAAGAUUCAACAAUGUUUGAAAAUUUGUCUGUCACAUCACAACUCAUCGAUAUAUUAUUGAAGAAACGACAUAUACCAACUAUAGGCGACAUCAUGAGUAAAUUACUUCUGCAAGUGGAACAGUAAAACAUAUUUUGCCGUCGAGUGUUAUGCCUGGGAAAUUUUAUAAUUUUAAAAUUUCACAAUAUCACAAAAUAUUUAAAAUUGCAUUAAAGCAUACGCUAAAUGAAUUCUAAACCAGAGAAUUUAGGCGAAAUUCCUGCACUAUCAGCAGGAACUUCAUCUUGUCAUCGUAGUGGCUACAAAUUGUCCAUACAUUCCAAAAUCACUGCAUAGAAAACAGUAUGGUGCUAUAGAAAAUCAUCUUAAUCAGAUUAAUAUUAUUUACAUGACCAAACCGUUCACAGGUAACAUCAUUUAACAUAUUCUUAACACAUUCUCUUUGAUUGAGAUAGUUUUCCAUCGCACAAUUAAUUCUAUUUCUAAUAUGAGUUUGAUAAUAACUUUAUUAUUUGUAAGUAGUGUCGUAAAUAUUUGCUCUAAUGUGUAAUUUAUUUCGUCUGUGUGUCUUUUUUGUCAGGAUCGCCCAACGGAUGCAGCAUUCAUGUCUAACAAAUGUCAGCGCUAGAUUCGUUGUUCACGCAUUCAAGACGCGUUUUUGUAUUUGCAUCUGUUCGGCGCUUCGAGCACAAAAUAUUUAAAAAUUUUGAAAUGUAAAGUGCCAUGAUACCUUUUAACUAAGUACUUGUACUCAGAAUUAGCAAAAAACGACGUCAAGGCUGUUUUCCAUUGUCGAAUAUUUUUAUCACUAUAUAGAUCCAAUGGGUUUGCAUUACAAAAAUGAACAUUUUGUACCAAGUCGUGGUUGUGGUUUAAAUUUGUUCAUAGUGUUUUAAGCAUUUCACAACGAUUUCCCAAAAACAUACUCUUUUGACAAACUGACAAAGUUUGAUUCAGAGAGGAAGCGGGAAAUUUACUGCGACCAAAUACUGAAGAUGCUCAAGCAUGGCAACUACGAAACUAUCUUUCUUCUUGACAGUUGGUACACAGAUGAAAAAACACUUAACAAAACCAAAGCACGUAUUUGAAGCAGGUUUUCUUUUGGGAAUAGUGUUGUUGAUAGAAACUGUAAAAAUCUGAAUUGGAACAAAAAUACCGAAGAGGGACUGCAACCUUGUCGUAUUUUCUUACUUAAUCAUAGUUUUGUCGGUUUAUUAAAAAAAGUAUCAUGACAUGUGAGGGAUAUUUUUACUUUGUAGUUGAGAUAUGUGCAUAUAUUGUAGUUUAUAAGUUCCUAUGUUGUAAAUAAGUAUGUAAAUAAUGAAUUAAUGUGUACAUAAGUUGAAAUAGAUUGCUGUUUGUUAUCAAACAUUAGAAUAAAAUACAUUUUUUGGAA
This is a long non-coding RNA of Zophobas morio, 2103 nucleotides long. RefSeq lists it as uncharacterized. Lineage: Eukaryota; Metazoa; Arthropoda; Insecta; Coleoptera; Tenebrionidae. The record is from RefSeq and is a predicted model, not a curated record. The transcript is spliced from 4 exons.